UUUUUUUUUUUUUUUUUUUUUUUUUUUGACCGAAAUGGGGCUAUGAAGGGGCAGGAAGCUC
This 61-nucleotide non-coding RNA is filed under the name Prorocentrum micans. Lineage: Eukaryota; Dinophyceae; Prorocentrales; Prorocentraceae. The record is from RNAcentral.